RNAcentral lists this ribosomal RNA (463 nucleotides) under Vreelandella stevensii. RNAcentral's name for it is "partial 16S ribosomal RNA". It matches the Rfam family "Bacterial small subunit ribosomal RNA", at positions 338 to 795 of the family's 1533-position model. Lineage: Bacteria; Pseudomonadati; Pseudomonadota; Gammaproteobacteria; Oceanospirillales; Halomonadaceae. The record is from RNAcentral.
CCUACGGGUGGCUGCAGUGGGGAAUAUUGGACAAUGGGGGGAACCCUGAUCCAGCCAUGCCGCGUGUGAAGAAGGCCCUCGGGUUGUAAAGCACUUUCAGUGAGGAAGAACGCCUGGUGGUUAAUACCCAUCAGGAAAGACAUCACUCACAGAAGAAGCACCGGCUAACUCCGUGCCAGCAGCCGCGGUAAUACGGAGGGUGCGAGCGUUAAUCGGAAUUACUGGGCGUAAAGCGCGCGUAGGUGGCUUGAUAAGCCGGUUGUGAAAGCCCCGGGCUCAACCUGGGAACGGCAUCCGGAACUGUCAAGCUAGAGUGCAGGAGAGGAAGGUAGAAUUCCCGGUGUAGCGGUGAAAUGCGUAGAGAUCGGGAGGAAUACCAGUGGCGAAGGCGGCCUUCUGGACUGACACUGACACUGAGGUGCGAAAGCGUGGGUAGCAAACAGGAUUAGAUACCCCGGUAGUC